This 199-nucleotide ribosomal RNA is filed under the name uncultured bacterium. Its description in RNAcentral is "partial 16S ribosomal RNA". It matches the Rfam family "Bacterial small subunit ribosomal RNA", at positions 328 to 539 of the family's 1533-position model. The record is from RNAcentral.
ACGCUCGACACCUACGGGAGGCAGCAGUGGGGAAUAUUGCACAAUGGGGGAAACCCUGAUGCAGCGACGCCGCGUGACUGAAGAAGUAUUUCGGUAUGUAAAGGUCUAUCAGCAAGGAAGAAGAAAGACGGUACUUGACUAAGAAGCCCCGGCUAACUACGUGCCUGCAGCCGCGGUAAUCUGAGCGGGCUGGCAAGGC